RNAcentral lists this ribosomal RNA (119 nucleotides) under Lepisosteus oculatus (spotted gar). Lineage: Eukaryota; Metazoa; Chordata; Actinopteri; Semionotiformes; Lepisosteidae. The record is from RNAcentral.
GCCAGCAGCCAUACCACCCUGCUACCCACACCUGGCAGCCCACUGAAGCUCAGCAGGUGUGAGCCUGGUCAGUACCUGGAUAGGAGACCUCCUGGGAAAAACUAAGGUUGCUGCUGGAA